CCCUUAGAUGUUCUGGGCCGCACGCGCGCUACACUGAUGCAUUCAACGAGUGUACCUUGGCCGAGAGGCCUGGGCAAUCUUUUGAACGUGCAUCGUGAUAGGGAUAGAUUAUUGCAAUUAUUAAUCUUGAACGAGGAAUCCCUAGUAAACGCAGUUCAUCAAACUGCAUUGAUUACGUCCCUGCCCUUUGUACACACCGCCCGUCGCGCCUACCGAUUGGAUGGUCCGGUGAAGCCUCGGGAUUGUGGCGGUUGCCUUUAUUGGUGGCCGCCGCGAGAACUUGUCUAAACCUUAUCAUCUAGAGGAAGGUGAAGUCGUAACA
Molecule: ribosomal RNA, 322 nt
Filed under: uncultured eukaryote
Lineage: Eukaryota
Description: partial 18S ribosomal RNA
Rfam family: Eukaryotic small subunit ribosomal RNA
Source: RNAcentral